RNAcentral lists this transfer RNA (71 nucleotides) under Paraburkholderia bryophila. Its description in RNAcentral is "tRNA-OTHER". It matches the Rfam family "tRNA". Rfam says of the family: Transfer RNA (tRNA) molecules are approximately 80 nucleotides in length. Their secondary structure includes four short double-helical elements and three loops (D, anti-codon, and T loops). Lineage: Bacteria; Pseudomonadati; Pseudomonadota; Betaproteobacteria; Burkholderiales; Burkholderiaceae. The record is from RNAcentral. RNAcentral also lists the same sequence under 1 other name.
CGUUCGGAAGCUCAUUGGUAGAGCAAUCGGCUUCGGCUGAUUGGUAGCGGGUUCGACUCCCGCUCGAACAU